AUACGGAGGAUCCGAGCGUUAUCCGGAUUUAUUGGGUUUAAAGGGUGCGCGGGCGGGAGAUUAAGUCGGCGGUGAAAUUUUGCAGCUCAACUGUAAAAGUGCCUUCGAUACUGGUUUCCUUGAGUGUGGAUGAAGUAGGCGGAAUUUGUGGUGUAGAGGUGAAAUGCUUAGAUAUCACGAGGAACUCCGAUUGCGCAGGCAGCUUACUAAACCACUACUGACGCUCAGGCACGAAGGCGUGGGGAUCAAACAGGAUUAGAUACCCUGGUAGUCCACGCAGUAAACGAUGAUUACUGGCUGUUUGCGAUACAAUGUAAGCGGCUGAGCGAAAGCGUUAAGUAAUCCACCUGGGGAGUACGUUCGCAAGAAUGAAACUCAAAUGAAUUGACGGGG
RNAcentral lists this ribosomal RNA (393 nucleotides) under uncultured bacterium. RNAcentral's name for it is "partial 16S ribosomal RNA". It matches the Rfam family "Bacterial small subunit ribosomal RNA", at positions 523 to 918 of the family's 1533-position model. The record is from RNAcentral.